GGUUAAGCGACUAAGCGUACACGGUGGAUGCCCUGGCAGUCAGAGGCGAUGAAGGACGUGCUAAUCUGCGAUAAGCGCCGGUAAGGUGAUAUGAACCGUUAUAACCGGCGAUUUCCGAAUGGGGAAACCCAGUGUGUUUCGACACACUAUCAUUACGUGAAUACAUAGCGUAAUGAAGCGAACCGGGGGAACUGAAACAUCUAAGUACCCCGAGGAAAAGAAAUCAACCGAGAUUCCCCCAGUAGCGGCGAGCGAACGGGGAGGAGCCCAGAGCCUGAAUCAGCAUGUGUGUUAGUGGAAGCGUCUGGAAAGGCGCGCGAUACAGGGUGACAGCCCCGUACACAAAAGCGCAUGUGCUGUGAGCUCGAUGAGUAGGGCGGGACACGUGGUAUCCUGUCUGAAUAUGGGGGGACCAUCCUCCAAGGCUAAAUACUCCUGACUGACCGAUAGUGAACCAGUACCGUGAGGGAAAGGCGAAAAGAACCCCGGCGAGGGGAGUGAAAAAGAACCUGAAACCGUGUACGUACAAGCAGUGGGAGCACAGGUUUACCUGUGUGACUGCGUACCUUUUGUAUAAUGGGUCAGCGACUUAUAUUCUGUAGCAAGGUUAACCGAAUAGGGGAGCCGUAGGGAAACCGAGUCUUAAC
RNAcentral lists this ribosomal RNA (647 nucleotides) under Salmonella enterica subsp. enterica serovar Tennessee. RNAcentral's name for it is "partial 23S ribosomal RNA". It matches the Rfam family "Bacterial large subunit ribosomal RNA", at positions 1 to 688 of the family's 2925-position model. The record is from RNAcentral. Lineage: Bacteria; Pseudomonadati; Pseudomonadota; Gammaproteobacteria; Enterobacterales; Enterobacteriaceae.